Molecule: ribosomal RNA, 497 nt
Filed under: uncultured bacterium
Lineage: Bacteria
Description: partial 16S ribosomal RNA
Rfam family: Bacterial small subunit ribosomal RNA
Source: RNAcentral
AUGAACGCUGGCGGCGUGCCUAAUACAUGCAAGUCGAGCGAACAGACGAGGAGCUUGCUCCUCUGACGUUAGCGGCGGACGGGUGAGUAACACGUGGAUAACCUACCUAUAAGACUGGGAUAACUUCGGGAAACCGGAGCUAAUACCGGAUAAUAUAUUGAACCGCAUGGUUCAAUAGUGAAAGACGGUUUUGCUGUCACUUAUAGAUGGAUCCGCGCCGCAUUAGCUAGUUGGUAAGGUAACGGCUUACCAAGGCAACGAUGCGUAGCCGACCUGAGAGGGUGAUCGGCCACACUGGAACUGAGACACGGUCCAGGCUCCUACGGGAGGCAGCAGUAGGGAAUCUUCCGCAAUGGGCGAAAGCCUGACGGAGCAACGCCGCGUGAGUGAUGAAGGUCUUCGGAUCGUAAAACUCUGUUAUUAGGGAAGAACAAAUGUGUAAGUAACUAUGCACGUCUUGACGGUACCUAAUCAGAAAGCCACGGCUAACUACGUGC